This 28-nucleotide small RNA is filed under the name Bombyx mori (domestic silkworm). Its description in RNAcentral is "piRNA piR-bmo-1268949". The record is from RNAcentral. Lineage: Eukaryota; Metazoa; Arthropoda; Insecta; Lepidoptera; Bombycidae.
UCUGUCCGAAUCCGUUCAUCUCCAAUGC